This is a small nuclear RNA of Cervus hanglu yarkandensis (Yarkand deer), 199 nucleotides long. Its record names the gene U2. It matches the Rfam family "U2 spliceosomal RNA". Rfam says of the family: U2 is a small nuclear RNA (snRNA) component of the spliceosome (involved in pre-mRNA splicing). Lineage: Eukaryota; Metazoa; Chordata; Mammalia; Artiodactyla; Cervidae. The record is from Ensembl.
AUCCCUUCUCUGUCUUUUGGCUAAGACUAAGUGUAGUCUUUCUUCUUAUCAGUUUAAUAUAAAUGCUAGCUAAGAAGUUACAAUGCGCUAGACCCUCUGUUGGGUGCUAGAGCACAGUGCUUUUUAAUCUUUUUUUUAUUUUUUGGCCUUGCCACAUGGCUGUGGGGUCUUAGUUUUCUAACCAGAGAUCCAACCUGGG